UAAAUUGAGUUUUUGGCUAACUUAUUUUUUGUUAAUUUUGGUGCUUUUGAAUGAAUAAAGAUAUUCGUCUAAGUAAAGGUGAUCUCCGGUUCAAAAUCCUGCAAAAAAGUAAACUGAAGCAACGUCAAAAUGCCCUGCAGAAUGGAACGGACCUUCGAAACAUUCUGUCAAGGCCUGGUCAAUCUUCAUCGAAUAGCCUAGGUAUGCGGGCAAGGGUGCCUGAGCCAAAGGAGAUGAGGCUGCAGCAUACAGAUCCUAGGGAUGGUAGACAACAUUUUCCAGAGACACGUGAUGGUAGGCAGCUAAUGACUAUGACCAGGGAUUCUAGACAGGGCACCCCUGACUACAGAGAACAGAACAUACCUGGCCUUAGGGAGCAACGCAUGCCUGACCCCAGGCAAAAGCGCAUGCCUGAAUUCAGGGAAGCUAGACGAAGCUUUCCUGAACUAAAGGAUGUUAGUCGUAGCAUGCCCGAGCCAAGUCAUUCUACUAUAAUGGGGCCCAUGCCAGGCUCAAGAACUGCAAAUGCUGCGACCAAGGUGGAUUCGGUGAUUAAUUCUUAUUCUCCCUGGACUGUAGAUCGUUUAAGACGGAGAUCACCAGAUGAAACUUUGGCUAGUUCUAGUGGUCUGUCAUCAACCAGGAGAGAUGGUGGAUUACUGAGAAAGCUUCCAAUUAGGGCAUACGACGACACCAGAACGAGCACGUACAUGAGCAAAGAUUCUUUUGACUUUUCAAGGCCAACUAGCUCUUCAUCUUACCUGACUAACCUGGUUCCACCUGCUGCACAGACGAAGACCAGGGCACCAGUAACUGCCCCACUUCUUCCAGGCAGUCUUUUACAGAAAAGCUCAUAUGCGGUACAAUCUAGUACCUAUCUUCUUUGCUCUCCAUGAAAUUUUGCUGCCUUCACUGCAACAUGACUUGGAUAGUUAAUUUCCUUUAGUGGCAAUCCUUAUAUAUCUUUUCAUUGUGUUCUAUGUGUAGUUAAGUUGAUAUUUACAUUAUAAAUGUGUGAAAGUUAUGUUUGGAAGAUGAUCCCUGUUGUCAAAUUAGGAUUGCCACAAUAUUUUCUUAGACUGAGAUGCCCUGAUCACAUGAAAUAAAUGACACCAAGAAUUGAAGUCCCCCUCCCCUCCCCUCCCCCCCAACCACACACAGACGUAAUUUUAUUUAGUAUCAGCUACUUGUUUUACUUAGUUUAACGAGUUUAGGUUUUCUUCUAUAAAUGUGUUUAUCCAUAAGAAUAUUAAUAGAUAUUUAUACACUGAAUACUUAGCUAAGGAUAAUGCUUAAGCCAUUCUAAUUUUUGUAGAUCCAUUCAUUACUUCUUACGAGCUUGAAAAUGCAAUGAAGCAAUGCAGUGUAAUUGUGAUAUGACGGUUGGUAGGAUGGAUAUUUGCAAGUUAGAGAUUACUAACAGCUGUAAUAUUGUUUUGCAGACAGCGGAGAGAUGGUAGUGCUGCCAAUGAUAUUGAUGGUAAAAGACAUGUACUUCAGUCUUUGAAGUUCUGCUAAAUUGUAAAUUGAGUUUUUGGCUAACUUAUUUUUUGUUAAUUUUGGUGCUUUUGAAUGAAUAAAGAUAUUCGUCUAAGUAAAGGUGAUCUCCGGUUCAAAAUCCUGCAAAAAAGUAAACUGAAGCAACGUCAAAAUGCCCUGCAGAAUGGAACGGACCUUCGAAACAUUCUGUCAAGGCCUGGUCAAUCUUCAUCGAAUAGCCUAGGUAUGCGGGCAAGGGUGCCUGAGCCAAAGGAGAUGAGGCUGCAGCAUACAGAUCCUAGGGAUGGUAGACAACAUUUUCCAGAGACACGUGAUGGUAGGC
RNAcentral lists this long non-coding RNA (1822 nucleotides) under Olea europaea (common olive). Its description in RNAcentral is "long non-coding RNA (OEUR_LNC002226)". The record is from RNAcentral. Lineage: Eukaryota; Viridiplantae; Streptophyta; Magnoliopsida; Lamiales; Oleaceae.